Molecule: long non-coding RNA, 504 nt
Filed under: Dermacentor andersoni
Lineage: Eukaryota; Metazoa; Arthropoda; Arachnida; Ixodida; Ixodidae
Description: uncharacterized LOC126535272
Source: RNAcentral
GUGCCUAGACAAAAUCUGCUCCUUGUCGUGUGCAGUAACCAUCGCAAACCCUCCGGACUUGUGUAACGCCGUUAGUUCGCCGUGUGUUUCGUGCGAUCUACCAGUGUCGACAGUGAGUGUCUUACUACAGCGCCCGCCCGAGCUGCCUUUGUUCUGCCGAGCUGCCUGCCCGCGCUCUCGUGAAAAGUCUGGUACUGGAGCUUCGAAUCGUAGUGUAUGGAAGACUGUUGAAGGUUGUGCUUUUGUGGAGCUGGAGUUCAUCGGAAGUUCUACAGUGCUUGCGCCAGAAAAACGUCGGUGCCUCGGUACCUUUGAGACGAAGGAGCGUUGGCCAAGUCUUUUUGAAAGGCUAUGCGGAUUCUGGAGGCAUCCCUACAUCAAGCAGGAACCUGCUGCACUGCUGGAAGCUGGACAGCACGACAAUAAAGCACGUGAUCUGUGUGCUUUCUCAAAGGUAGACAUCGGCGACGGUGUAUAUGUUGAAAAGUGCCUGCUGAAGAGGCU